AAAAGUAAAAAACAAUUUUCCCCCCUCUUCCCUCUCAUCUUGCCGCUCGGUUCCAUCGCAAAAUCCCUAAAAUUGAUUUGAAGCACAAAAUCCCUAAAAUCCCUAGCGGUGUCCGAUAGAAAUCCCUCUCAUCUUGCCGCUCAAUUUUCCCCCAAAAUCCCCAAACCAGCGACGGGCGACCGGCGACGAACGGCGAAGGGCUAGCGGUGGUGCGGUGGUGCGGCGACGACGAACGGCGAAGGGCUAGCGGCGGUGCUUCGACGACGACAGCAACUCAGAUAUUUCCUUAGUUGCAGUUUGCUUCUUGUGGAAUGCGGGCGUAUAAAGAUUAUAACCAGCUUUUAUUUUUUUAACCCACGAAGGAAGCAAGACGAAAACUUUUGGUUUUGAUUUUGAUUUAUGUUAUUUAAAUUUGUGAACAAUAUUAUGUAUGUAUUAUGCGACAUUAUGUAGUGGUAUAAUUUUUAUUUCUGUAUUGUUAUGAAUGGAACAAUAUUAUGAAUGUUCAUCA
Camellia sinensis is the source of this 511-nucleotide non-coding RNA. Lineage: Eukaryota; Viridiplantae; Streptophyta; Magnoliopsida; Ericales; Theaceae. The record is from RefSeq and is a predicted model, not a curated record.